RNAcentral lists this ribosomal RNA (564 nucleotides) under uncultured Inocybe. Its description in RNAcentral is "eukaryotic LSU rRNA". The stretch from base 221 to 374 matches the Rfam family "5.8S ribosomal RNA". Lineage: Eukaryota; Fungi; Basidiomycota; Agaricomycetes; Agaricales; Cortinariaceae. The record is from RNAcentral.
GCUGUUGUUGGUCUCCUCAGGGAGAUUACGUGCACGCUUGUCUCAUCUUUGUUAUUUCUCCAACUGUGCACCUUUUGUAGACCCUGGAGCUUUAUGAAUUUUCUGAAAAUUCGAGUCAGGACUGCUGUUUCAGCUUUGCCUUGCAUCUCCAGGUUCUAUGUCAUUUUUCACAACCUCUUCAUAUGUUUAGAAUGUUUGGAAAUAUAAAAUUGAAAUAUACAACUUUCAGCAACGGAUCUCUUGGCUCUCGCAUCGAUGAAGAACGCAGCGAAAUGCGAUAAGUAAUGUGAAUUGCAGAAUUCAGUGAAUCAUCGAAUCUUUGAACGCAUCUUGCGCUCCUUGGUAUUUCGAGGAGCAUGCCUGUUUGAGUGUCAUUUAACUUCUCAACCAACAUCAGAUGAUGUUGGCUUGGAUGUGGGGGUUGUUUUUGCAGGCUUUUUCUUGUUAGAAGGUCGGCUCCCCUGAAAUGGAUUAGUGGUAUCUGAGGCUACUACUGUGGGUGUGAUAACUAUCUAUGCCUUUGGUAUGCCGCAUGAACAGAUUACACUGCUUCUAACAAAACAA